Molecule: ribosomal RNA, 676 nt
Filed under: Clanculus denticulatus
Lineage: Eukaryota; Metazoa; Mollusca; Gastropoda; Trochida; Trochidae
Description: partial 12S rRNA
Source: RNAcentral
GACAAACAGGCCGAAUCAAGAUGUAGACAGUAUAAAAGGAGGUUAAGGAGUAAAAAAUUAAUAAAAUUAGAAGAGCUUAGUGUUUUUAUAGAGGUGGAAUUUGUAUAAAGAGAUAGGGUUUUCUUUCUUCUUUUUCCUGAUGCCUCGAAGGUUUGAUAGAAGACCGGGAUUAGAUACCCCGUUAUUCAUUCAGUAAACUUUAAUGGUAUUUUGAUUUACUAGGGUAUUACGAGUUGCUUAGCACAAUAUGUUGUUUAGGCAGUGCGCUUAAAACUCAAAAAACUUGGCGGUGCCUUAUUUCUUUCCAGGGGAACCUGUCCUGUAAUCGAUGGUCCACGAUUUAACUUACCUUUCUUUGUAUUUUGAAAUUUAUUGAUUAAAAAGCAGUCUGUAUACCGUCGUCGUCAGAUUACCUUUGAGAGUAAUGGAAGUUGUCGAGAGAGAAUGAAACUUGUUUAUGUUGGUUGUUAGUUUUGAGAUUAUAUGUAGAUGAGUAUAUUAUCUCUGAUGUCAGAUCAAGGUGCAGCUUAUGGAAAGGAAGAGAUGGGUUACAAUAGUUAUUAAUUAGACGGAUUUUGUGUUGUAAUACACGAUUGAAGGUGGACUUGGGAGUAAUGUAAUGUUUUAGAUUUAGGUAAAUAGUGAGUUUACGUGAAUAAUUGGUACUAAGGUGUGC